RNAcentral lists this transfer RNA (76 nucleotides) under Neisseria sp. HMSC059F02. Its description in RNAcentral is "tRNA-Gly". It matches the Rfam family "tRNA". Rfam says of the family: Transfer RNA (tRNA) molecules are approximately 80 nucleotides in length. Their secondary structure includes four short double-helical elements and three loops (D, anti-codon, and T loops). Further hydrogen bonds mediate the characteristic L-shaped molecular structure. tRNAs have two regions of fundamental functional importance: the anti-codon, which is responsible for specific mRNA codon recognition, and the 3' end, to which the tRNAs corresponding amino acid is attached (by aminoacyl-tRNA synthetases). tRNAs cope with the degeneracy of the genetic code in two manners: having more than one tRNA (with a specific anti-codon) for a particular amino acid; and 'wobble' base-pairing, i.e. permitting non-standard base-pairing at the 3rd anti-codon position. The record is from RNAcentral. Lineage: Bacteria; Pseudomonadati; Pseudomonadota; Betaproteobacteria; Neisseriales; Neisseriaceae.
GCGGGAAUAGCUCAGUUGGUAGAGCGCAACCUUGCCAAGGUUGAGGUCGCGAGUUCGACACUCGUUUCCCGCUCCA